AACGAACGCUGGCGGCGUGCUUAACACAUGCAAGUCGAACGUGAUUGGGAGCUUGCUCCCAUGAAAGUGGCGCACGGGUGAGUAACACGUGGAUAAUCUGCCCAGUGGUUUGGGAUAACACUUCGAAAGGGGUGCUAAUACCAAAUAAGCCCACGGAGACUCCGGUCUUUGCGGGAAAAGGUGGGGACCUUCGGGCCUACCGUCACUGGAUGAGUCCGCGGCCCAUUAGCUAGUUGGUAGGGUAAUGGCCUACCAAGGCUACGAUGGGUAGCUGGUCUGAGAGGAUGAUCAGCCACACUGGAACUGAGACACGGUCCAGACUCCUACGGGUGGCAG
Molecule: ribosomal RNA, 336 nt
Filed under: uncultured Pseudomonadota bacterium
Lineage: Bacteria; Pseudomonadati; Pseudomonadota
Description: bacterial SSU rRNA
Rfam family: Bacterial small subunit ribosomal RNA
Source: RNAcentral